This 313-nucleotide small nuclear RNA is filed under the name Neotoma lepida (desert woodrat). RNAcentral's name for it is "7SK RNA". It matches the Rfam family "7SK RNA". From Rfam's summary of the family: 7SK was discovered as an abundant small nuclear RNA in the mid-70s but a possible function has only recently been suggested. Two independent studies have found that 7SK RNA binds the CDK9/cyclin T complex (known as elongation factor P-TEFb). The record is from Rfam by way of RNAcentral. Lineage: Eukaryota; Metazoa; Chordata; Mammalia; Rodentia; Cricetidae.
AGAUGUCUGAGAGUGACCAGGCUGCAAGUUAUGUUACCCCCUUGAUCACCAGGAUUGAUUGGGCUGAUGUGGUUGGUGAAGGAGCAUCCCCUUCCACUUUCACAGCUCCAAGCGUAUGCCUCCUGAAGCUGUGUGUUUUGUCAAAGAGGAUAACCUUCCCAGAGUAGAGGAACACCAGUCUUAAGGUAUAUGAGUAUCUGUGCUCCCAUGCUAUAACAUCCAAGCAAACCCUCAAAGGGGUGUUUAAGAAUACCCCAAAGACUCUACUGGAAUGGUUCAAGAGAUUGUUUGUAUUACAAAUGUAUGCUUUCUG